Molecule: long non-coding RNA, 701 nt
Filed under: Fukomys damarensis (Damara mole-rat)
Lineage: Eukaryota; Metazoa; Chordata; Mammalia; Rodentia; Bathyergidae
Description: lncRNA (ENSFDAG00000031778.1)
Source: RNAcentral
CCAGGGAGCCUGAGUACCUGUCCUGCUCCCACCUCUCUCUGCCCCAGGACCACAUGUGGAAGCAGCUUCUGAUGGUGCUGGAGCAUGGGGCCUGUGACUCUGGGAGCUGCCUCCAUGCCCUCUCUAUCUCCCUAGAGGACACCCAAAUCCAACUCAGGGACUCAGGAGCGGUGCUGCUGGAUGUGCAGGAUGUGGGCUUACCCUGGACUGGCACUGCUGGCCUCAUUGUCUCCCGAGCCUCCUCCUCCUUCCUGCUGCUAAGUUGGCCUGGGGCUUGGGUCCUCUGGGGAGUGGCCUACCCUGCAGUCUACAUCACCCUGGAUCCCCGCCACGCCCACCAGGUUGCCAGGAAGUGGGUGAGGGGCUGGGUGAGGCUGUGACUUGACUAGAUUUGACUAUCUCACAUGCUCUCCACAACCCAGGUACAAGGUCUAUGUGGCACCUUCACCUGGAACCAGCAGGAUGACUUCCUGAUGCCAGCUGGGGAUGUGGAGACCAGCAUUGCUGCUUUUGCUAGCAAGUUCCAGGUGGCAGACAGUGGCAGGUGCUCUCCAGAGGACAGUGCCCUGCUCUACCCCUGCAGCACCCACUCCCAGCACCUUGCUUUCGCGGAGGCAGCCUGUGCCAUCCUGUACAGCCCAGUCUUCCAGGUAGCUGGGGUGGCCCUUCCCACACCUGUACAGUUAAGGGAACAAAUGCAA